UACGUAGGGGGCAAGCGUUGUCCGGAUUUAUUGGGCGUAAAGAGCGUGUAGGCGCCAGACAGGUCCGUUGUGAAAACUUGAGGCUCAACCUCGAGACGCCGAUGGAAACCGUCUGGCUAGAGUCCGGAAGAGGAGAGUGGAAUUCCUGGUGUAGCGGUGAAAUGCGCAGAUAUCAGGAAGAACACCCGUGGCUAAGGCGGCUCUCUAGUACGGUACUGACGCUGAGACGCGAAAGCGUGGGGAGCGAACAGG
This 252-nucleotide ribosomal RNA is filed under the name uncultured bacterium. RNAcentral describes it as "partial 16S ribosomal RNA". It matches the Rfam family "Bacterial small subunit ribosomal RNA", at positions 524 to 776 of the family's 1533-position model. The record is from RNAcentral.